Molecule: long non-coding RNA, 1051 nt
Filed under: Phasianus colchicus (ring-necked pheasant)
Lineage: Eukaryota; Metazoa; Chordata; Aves; Galliformes; Phasianidae
Description: lncRNA (ENSPCLG00000016680.1)
Source: RNAcentral
UGUGGGGCACUGGGACCAACUGGGGGGCACUGGGAACACUGGGGUGUGUUGGGGUGAUUUGGAAGGAGAAUACUGGGAUGUACUGGGAUCAACUGGGACCGGCUGGGACACUGGGGGGCAACUGGGAGCAACUGGGACCCAUUGCAACCAAUGGAGCGCAGCACUGGGACCAGUAGGGUGGCAUUGGGUUGGGGGUAUUCUGGGGGCACUGGGACCAACUGGGGGCACUGGGACCCAUUGGGGUGACGUGGAGGUGGGGCACUGGGACGAACUGGGACCAACUGGGACCAACUGGGACACUGGCUUGCAACUGGGGGCAACUGGGACUCAUUGCAACCAAUGGAGCGCAGCACUGGGACCAGUAGGGUGGCUUUGGGUUGGGGGCAUUUUGGGGGCACUGGGACAAACUGGGGGGCACUGGGACCCAUUGGGGUGACGUGGAGGUGGGGCACUGGGACCAACUGAGACCGACUGGGACACUGGGGGUGCAAACUGGGAUGCACUGGGACCCAUUGCAACCAAUGGAGCGCAGCACUGGGAGCAGUGGGGCGACAUCAGAUGGGUGACACUCGGGGGUCAGUGGUGGGGCACCGGGACCCCCUGUAACCCCCCCCCCCCUUAAUUUGUCCCCCCCCCUUUUUGGAGCAGUGUGGGAGCUGCUGCUGUGGCGCUGGCCGUGCCGCUCGGCGCUGGCACUGCUGGGGACGUUGGGGACAUUGGGUCUGGUGGCCCGGUACAGCGUGGUGGCCGUGGGGGCUUACGGGGCGCUGGCGGUGCUGGGGGUCACCGUCCCCAUAAAGCUGCACCGGGUGGCACUGAGGGCUUUGAGGAGGGGACAACCCGAGGGUGAGGGGAGGGUUCCUCCAUGCGCUGUGGGGCUGAGCACGGAGCAGCAGCAGCGUUGGGCGCAGCGCAUCGCCCGGCACCUGGUGGCUGCCACCCGCACCCUCACCCGCCUCUUCCUCGUCCACAGCCUCCCAGAGUCCCUCAAGGUGACACUGGGGUCGUGGGGGGGAGUUGGGGUCGUGGGGACACUGGGGGGUGUUUGGGU